UCUUCCAUAUGGUUCAAGUUAAAAGCUGAUAAAGGAG
This 37-nucleotide small RNA is filed under the name Romboutsia ilealis. RNAcentral's name for it is "CRISPR spacer". The record is from RNAcentral. Lineage: Bacteria; Bacillati; Bacillota; Clostridia; Peptostreptococcales; Peptostreptococcaceae.